Molecule: ribosomal RNA, 782 nt
Filed under: uncultured marine bacterium
Lineage: Bacteria
Description: bacterial SSU rRNA
Rfam family: Bacterial small subunit ribosomal RNA
Source: RNAcentral
GCAGUCGAACGAAGUAGCAAUACUUAGUGGCAGACGGGUGAGUAACAUGUAGGUAUCUGCCCUUUGGCCUGGAAUAACACGAGGAAACUUGUGCUAAUACCGGAUAAGUCUUUACGGAGAAAGCUUUAUGCACCAUUGGAUGAGCCUGCACUUGAUUAGUUUGUUGGUGGGGUAAUGGCCUACCAAGACUGUGUUCAAUAGCUGAUUUGAGAGGAUGAUCAGCCACAUUGGGACUGAGACACGGCCCAAACUCCUACGGGAGGCAGCAGUGGGGAAUCUUGCACAAUGGAGGAAACUCUGAUGCAGCGAUGCCGCGUGAGUGAAGAAGGCCUUUGGGUUGUAAAGCUCUUUCGUCGGGGAAGAAAAUGACUGUACCCGAAUAAGAAGGUCCGGCUAACUUCGUGCCAGCAGCCGCGGUAAUACGAAGGGACCUAGCGUAGUUCGGAAUUACUGGGCUUAAAGAGUUCGUAGGUGGUUGAAAAAGUUGGUGGUGAAAUCCCAGAGCUUAACUCUGGAACUGCCAUCAAAACUUUUCAGCUAGAGUAUGAUAGAGGAAAGCAGAAUUUCUAGUGUAGGGGUGAAAUUCGUAGAUAUUAGAAAGAAUACCAAUUGCGAAGGCAGCUUUCUGGAUCAUUACUGACACUGAGGAACGAAAGCAUGGGUAGCGAAGAGGAUUAGAUACCCUCGUAGUCCAUGCCGUAAACGAUGUGUGUUAGACGUUGGAAAUUUAUUUUCAGUGUCGCAGCAAAAGCGAUAAACACACCGCCUGGGGAGUACGACCG